RNAcentral lists this ribosomal RNA (492 nucleotides) under uncultured bacterium. RNAcentral's name for it is "bacterial SSU rRNA". It matches the Rfam family "Bacterial small subunit ribosomal RNA", at positions 30 to 525 of the family's 1533-position model. The record is from RNAcentral.
AUUGAACGCUGGCGGCAUGCCUUACACAUGCAAGUCGAACGGUAACAGGUUAAGCUGACGAGUGGCGAACGGGUGAGUAAUAUAUCGGAACGUGCCCAGUCGUGGGGGAUAACUGCUCGAAAGAGCAGCUAAUACCGCAUACGACCUGAGGGUGAAAGCGGGGGAUCGUAAGACCUCGCGCGAUUGGAGCGGCCGAUAUCAGAUUAGGUAGUUGGUGGGGUAAAAGCUCACCAAGCCAACGAUCUGUAGCUGGUCUGAGAGGACGACCAGCCACACUGAGACUGAGACACGGCCCAGACUCCUACGGGAGGCAGCAGUGGGGAAUUUUGGACAAUGGGCGCAAGCCUGAUCCAGCCAUGCCGCGUGCGGGAAGAAGGCCUGGUGUAACGCUUUGUCAGGGAAGAAAAGGUUACUGGAUAAUACCUGGGACGUCAUGACGGUACCUGAAGAAUAAGACACCGGCUAACUACGUAGCCAGCAGCCGCGGUAAGU